This 442-nucleotide long non-coding RNA is filed under the name Brassica napus (rape). RNAcentral's name for it is "long non-coding RNA (BNAP_LNC019555)". Lineage: Eukaryota; Viridiplantae; Streptophyta; Magnoliopsida; Brassicales; Brassicaceae. The record is from RNAcentral.
GUAACCGGGCCAACCGAGUUGACCCGGUUCAGCUCCUCCUCCAAACCUCUCCCACACCAGUGUCUCAGUGUCCAAAGCAAACCCUUCAUCAGACAACGUCCCUGGUCCCAAAUGUGCCUUUGGGUCCGGCCAGGUCUCUCCUCCAAAUAUCAGUAUAUAUUUCCCCACAACCGCAUGUCCAAACACGCUCCUCGCAGAAGGUUUGUCUCCUUUAGUCUCCACUUCGGUCCAUUUUUGAGUAGCCGGGUCAUAAAACUGCACUUGGUCGGACUCAUAGUCAUUUUUUCCAUUAGGAUCAGGAGAAGUUGCAAACCCGUAAACCACCCAAAUCUUUCCUUGCACCACAACGAAUCCAGCUCCUCCUCUUCUCUCGAACCUUGGGAACUGCUCACCAGGAUCAGGAAGCUGAGACCAUUUCCCAUCAGCAAUGUUAUAGGCCUCG